GCCUUCGUAGUGUAGUAGUCAGCACGCUCGACGCGUAUUCGAGAGGUCCGUGGUUCAAGUCCCGGCGAGGAUA
RNAcentral lists this transfer RNA (73 nucleotides) under Stegodyphus mimosarum. It matches the Rfam family "tRNA". From Rfam's summary of the family: Transfer RNA (tRNA) molecules are approximately 80 nucleotides in length. Their secondary structure includes four short double-helical elements and three loops (D, anti-codon, and T loops). Lineage: Eukaryota; Metazoa; Arthropoda; Arachnida; Araneae; Eresidae. The record is from Rfam by way of RNAcentral.